RNAcentral lists this ribosomal RNA (2346 nucleotides) under Escherichia coli. Its description in RNAcentral is "partial 23S ribosomal RNA". It matches the Rfam family "Bacterial large subunit ribosomal RNA", at positions 598 to 2925 of the family's 2925-position model. Lineage: Bacteria; Pseudomonadati; Pseudomonadota; Gammaproteobacteria; Enterobacterales; Enterobacteriaceae. The record is from RNAcentral.
UGCGUACCUUUUGUAUAAUGGGUCAGCGACUUAUAUUCUGUAGCAAGGUUAACCGAAUAGGGGAGCCGAAGGGAAACCGAGUCUUAACCGGGCGUUAAGUUGCAGGGUAUAGACCCGAAACCCGGUGAUCUAGCCAUGGGCAGGUUGAAGGUUGGGUAACACUAACUGGAGGACCGAACCGACUAAUGUUGAAAAAUUAGCGGAUGACUUGUGGCUGGGGGUGAAAGGCCAAUCAAACCGGGAGAUAGCUGGUUCUCCCCGAAAGCUAUUUAGGUAGCGCCUCGUGAAUUCAUCUCCGGGGGUAGAGCACUGUUUCGGCAAGGGGGUCAUCCCGACUUACCAACCCGAUGCAAACUGCGAAUACCGGAGAAUGUUAUCACGGGAGACACACGGCGGGUGCUAACGUCCGUCGUGAAGAGGGAAACAACCCAGACCGCCAGCUAAGGUCCCAAAGUCAUGGUUAAGUGGGAAACGAUGUGGGAAGGCCCAGACAGCCAGGAUGUUGGCUUAGAAGCAGCCAUCAUUUAAAGAAAGCGUAAUAGCUCACUGGUCGAGUCGGCCUGCGCGGAAGAUGUAACGGGGCUAAACCAUGCACCGAAGCUGCGGCAGCGACACUGUGUGUUGUUGGGUAGGGGAGCGUUCUGUAAGCCUGUGAAGGUGUGCUGUGAGGCAUGCUGGAGGUAUCAGAAGUGCGAAUGCUGACAUAAGUAACGAUAAAGCGGGUGAAAAGCCCGCUCGCCGGAAGACCAAGGGUUCCUGUCCAACGUUAAUCGGGGCAGGGUGAGUCGACCCCUAAGGCGAGGCCGAAAGGCGUAGUCGAUGGGAAACAGGUUAAUAUUCCUGUACUUGGUGUUACUGCGAAGGGGGGACGGAGAAGGCUAUGUUGGCCGGGCGACGGUUGUCCCGGUUUAAGCGUGUAGGCUGGUUUUCCAGGCAAAUCCGGAAAAUCAAGGCUGAGGCGUGAUGACGAGGCACUACGGUGCUGAAGCAACAAAUGCCCUGCUUCCAGGAAAAGCCUCUAAGCAUCAGGUAACAUCAAAUCGUACCCCAAACCGACACAGGUGGUCAGGUAGAGAAUACCAAGGCGCUUGAGAGAACUCGGGUGAAGGAACUAGGCAAAAUGGUGCCGUAACUUCGGGAGAAGGCACGCUGAUAUGUAGGUGAAGUCCCUCGCGGAUGGAGCUGAAAUCAGUCGAAGAUACCAGCUGGCUGCAACUGUUUAUUAAAAACACAGCACUGUGCAAACACGAAAGUGGACGUAUACGGUGUGACGCCUGCCCGGUGCCGGAAGGUUAAUUGAUGGGGUCAGCGCAAGCGAAGCUCUUGAUCGAAGCCCCGGUAAACGGCGGCCGUAACUAUAACGGUCCUAAGGUAGCGAAAUUCCUUGUCGGGUAAGUUCCGACCUGCACGAAUGGCGUAAUGAUGGCCAGGCUGUCUCCACCCGAGACUCAGUGAAAUUGAACUCGCUGUGAAGAUGCAGUGUACCCGCGGCAAGACGGAAAGACCCCGUGAACCUUUACUAUAGCUUGACACUGAACAUUGAGCCUUGAUGUGUAGGAUAGGUGGGAGGCUUUGAAGUGUGGACGCCAGUCUGCAUGGAGCCGACCUUGAAAUACCACCCUUUAAUGUUUGAUGUUCUAACGUGGACCCGUGAUCCGGGUUGCGGACAGUGUCUGGUGGGUAGUUUGACUGGGGCGGUCUCCUCCUAAAGAGUAACGGAGGAGCACGAAGGUUGGCUAAUCCUGGUCGGACAUCAGGAGGUUAGUGCAAUGGCAUAAGCCAGCUUGACUGCGAGCGUGACGGCGCGAGCAGGUGCGAAAGCAGGUCAUAGUGAUCCGGUGGUUCUGAAUGGAAGGGCCAUCGCUCAACGGAUAAAAGGUACUCCGGGGAUAACAGGCUGAUACCGCCCAAGAGUUCAUAUCGACGGCGGUGUUUGGCACCUCGAUGUCGGCUCAUCACAUCCUGGGGCUGAAGUAGGUCCCAAGGGUAUGGCUGUUCGCCAUUUAAAGUGGUACGCGAGCUGGGUUUAGAACGUCGUGAGACAGUUCGGUCCCUAUCUGCCGUGGGCGCUGGAGAACUGAGGGGGGCUGCUCCUAGUACGAGAGGACCGGAGUGGACGCAUCACUGGUGUUCGGGUUGUCAUGCCAAUGGCACUGCCCGGUAGCUAAAUGCGGAAGAGAUAAGUGCUGAAAGCAUCUAAGCACGAAACUUGCCCCGAGAUGAGUUCUCCCUGACCCUUUAAGGGUCCUGAAGGAACGUUGAAGACGACGACGUUGAUAGGCCGGGUGUGUAAGCGCAGCGAUGCGUUGAGCUAACCGGUACUAAUGAACCGUGAGGCUUAACCUU